Molecule: ribosomal RNA, 1155 nt
Filed under: human gut metagenome
Description: bacterial SSU rRNA
Rfam family: Bacterial small subunit ribosomal RNA
Source: RNAcentral
GGCCCACCAAGGCGACGAUUGGUAGCCGGACUGAGAGGUUGAACGGCCACAUUGGGACUGAGACACGGCCCAGACUCCUACGGGAGGCAGCAGUGGGGGAUAUUGCACAAUGGGGGAAACCCUGAUGCAGCGACGCCGCGUGGAGGAAGAAGGUUUUCGGAUUGUAAACUCCUGUCGUUAGGGACGAUAAUGACGGUACCUAACAAGAAAGCACCGGCUAACUACGUGCCAGCAGCCGCGGUAAAACGUAGGGUGCAAGCGUUGUCCGGAAUUACUGGGUGUAAAGGGAGCGCAGGCGGACCGGCAAGUUGGAAGUGAAAACUAUGGGCUCAACCCAUAAAUUGCUUUCAAAACUGCUGGCCUUGAGUAGUGCAGAGGUAGGUGGAAUUCCCGGUGUAGCGGUGGAAUGCGUAGAUAUCGGGAGGAACACCAGUGGCGAAGGCGACCUACUGGGCACCAACUGACGCUGAGGCUCGAAAGCAUGGGUAGCAAACAGGAUUAGAUACCCUGGUAGUCCAUGCCGUAAACGAUGAUUACUAGGUGUUGGAGGAUUGACCCCUUCAGUGCCGCAGUUAACACAAUAAGUAAUCCACCUGGGGAGUACGACCGCAAGGUUGAAACUCAAAGGAAUUGACGGGGGCCCGCACAAGCAGUGGAGUAUGUGGUUUAAUUCGAAGCAACGCGAAGAACCUUACCAGGUCUUGACAUCCGAUGCAUAGUGCAGAGAUGCAUGAAGUCCUUCGGGACAUCGAGACAGGUGGUGCAUGGUUGUCGUCAGCUCGUGUCGUGAGAUGUUGGGUUAAGUCCCGCAACGAGCGCAACCCUUAUUGCCAGUUACUACGCAAGAGGACUCUGGCGAGACUGCCGUUGACAAAACGGAGGAAGGUGGGGAUGACGUCAAAUCAUCAUGCCCUUUAUGACCUGGGCUACACACGUACUACAAUGGCGUUUAACAAAGAGAAGCAAGACCGCGAGGUGGAGCAAAACUCAAAAACAACGUCUCAGUUCAGAUUGCAGGCUGCAACUCGCCUGCAUGAAGUCGGAAUUGCUAGUAAUCGCGGAUCAGCAUGCCGCGGUGAAUACGUUCCCGGGCCUUGUACACACCGCCCGUCACACCAUGAGAGCCGGGGGGACCCGAAGUCGGUAGUCUAACCG